RNAcentral lists this transfer RNA (80 nucleotides) under Actinomycetota bacterium. Its description in RNAcentral is "tRNA-Lys". The record is from RNAcentral. Lineage: Bacteria; Bacillati; Actinomycetota.
GCGAGCUGUAGCGGUCUCGCCAGACGCCCAGCAGCCGACUCUUAAUCCGCAGGCUCAGGGUUCGAAUCCCUGGGGGCGCA